UGGCUCAGUUGGUAGAGCAUGGUGUUUGCAACGCCAGCAUGGUGUUUGCAACGCCAGGGUUGUGGGUUCAAUUCCCAC
This 78-nucleotide transfer RNA is filed under the name Salmo salar (Atlantic salmon). It matches the Rfam family "tRNA", at positions 8 to 63 of the family's 71-position model. Rfam says of the family: Transfer RNA (tRNA) molecules are approximately 80 nucleotides in length. Their secondary structure includes four short double-helical elements and three loops (D, anti-codon, and T loops). Lineage: Eukaryota; Metazoa; Chordata; Actinopteri; Salmoniformes; Salmonidae. The record is from Rfam by way of RNAcentral. RNAcentral also lists the same sequence under 1 other name.